AAAAAAAAAAAAAAAAAUAAGUCUUUGAGAACCAAACGCCAUACACUACGUUCGUGCCGGGGUUUGCUGUUCACGUCUCGCUUCCUUCUUCUUCUUUUUCUCCUUACUUUCGCA
Molecule: non-coding RNA, 114 nt
Filed under: uncultured Mamiellales
Lineage: Eukaryota; Viridiplantae; Chlorophyta; Mamiellophyceae; Mamiellales
Source: RNAcentral